Prunus mume (Japanese apricot) is the source of this 1076-nucleotide long non-coding RNA. RefSeq lists it as uncharacterized. NCBI's taxonomy places the organism in Eukaryota, Viridiplantae, Streptophyta, Magnoliopsida, Rosales, Rosaceae. The record is from RefSeq and is a predicted model, not a curated record.
CUCUCUCUCUCUCUCUCUCCUCUUCCUUAUUCACUCCAUCGACGACGACGCCCUCCCUCUCAUCUUCCUUCGCUCCAUCAACGACUUGACUAUGCCCUCUCUUCAAUCCAAACGGCAUAGGUCAUGUCGUUUGGUGCUCGUCUUCUCUUCAACAAGAAAGAAGUGGAAGCAAAGGGAGUCACUGGACCUUUUCCUAGCCCGCCAUUUUUUGAAGUUGAGAAGCUAGGGCAUCGAUUUUUGAGCUUGACAAGCCAUGGAGUAGACGAUGUGGAGCCAUUUACCGCUAUUGGCUAGGUCCAAUUCGAAAGUUCGGUUGAGUACAUUCUUCGGGCUCUUUGGAGGACCCGAAAAACUGGUCUCGACCCGGCCAACUGAGACAAUAUGCUCUAGCUCCAGAACGAAUCAGACCUCAACCCGAAUCCUUGGGAGUUUUGAUCCUGAAGUCUCAUGGAAUUUUCCCAGAAGCACGAUGGUAUUGGAUUGGAGUAGCGGCUUUAAUUGGAUAUAUUUUUCUAUUCAAUCUACUUCUUACUUUGGCUCUGCAGUAUCUUGAUCCAUUUGGUGAUCUCAGACAAUACUAUCCAAAGAAGGAAUGGCUGAAAGAAAAGCUAGCACAAUUGGAGAGUUCAUUGAGCUAUUGCCAAGAGGAAAGAGCUCUUCUGAAAUUACUGAAGGUCAAAGAAGCUUACUGUUAUCUGAAAGAGGGGGAAGAACUGAUGAAGCUAAUGGGAAAAGGAAGCGUGGAAUGGUUCUUCUUUUUCAACUGCAUUCCCUUGCUUUCAAUGAGAUCAGAUAUGCAAUAAAUAUGCCACAGGUAACUUUCGACGUUAAAUUAGAAGUACCUCAACAAUAAUGGCUAUACUAUUUCUUUUUUUAAAAAUUAGCAUUUUGUAGCCAUUAAUUUUUUUAAAAAGCAAUAGUAUAGCCGCACGACUGUUGACGCUUUUCUAGACGUGUUGCAUUGUAGUUUUGCAUACACUAGAUUGCAGUUUUACACACUGCAUUACAGUUUCCAUUUAAUUACAAUUGGCUAAAUUGUUUUAUCAUUGGAUAUUGGUAUGAUUUUUGAAGUUAAU